This 2056-nucleotide long non-coding RNA is filed under the name Glycine max (soybean). RNAcentral's name for it is "long non-coding RNA (GMAX_LNC002901)". Lineage: Eukaryota; Viridiplantae; Streptophyta; Magnoliopsida; Fabales; Fabaceae. The record is from RNAcentral.
AUCAACAUCCCCAGACGAUAUGAAGUUCCUCAUCCUCUCAAUAGACUUCAUCAAAGAAAUAGGCCAAGAGUAAAUAAGCAUACUAUAAAGGACACUCUACACCAAAAGCAUUUUUCCCAUAAUAGAGAGAUGAACCUUUUUUCAUCUGGCCAUUUUCAGACGAAUUUUGUGAUCAGCAAUGGGUUGCAAAUGAAUAACUCUUGGUUUCCCCUUAAAUAAGGGAAUACCCAAGUAAGUGAAAGGAGUAGCUCCUGAAGAGAAACCACGAAUAUCAGCAAUGAGGCUCUUCAUGUGUUCUGAAAUCCCACCAGUGUAGCAUUUGGAUUUAGCAAGAUUAACAAGCUGGCUGGAUUCCUGACCAAAAAAAGAAAUAAACUUUUUAAGAUUCUGAAAUUUUCAAGGGAUCCCCUGCAGAAAAUUAAAACAUCAUUGGCAUAAAGCGCAUGGGAGGGCAUGGAAAAGUUUCUUGGGCCAUCCAUUAAAUAAAGAUUACCAUAAUUCACCAAUUUACUAAUCCCCCUCCUUAAAAAUUCUUGCCUAACUCCUUUUUUGCAAUUGAAGAAGCCAACAACCUUACCAUUCACUAGAAUAGACAACUUAGUCGAAUGUAGAAGAACACUAAUCCAAUCACAGAACUUGGCAUGAAAUCCAAACUGGCUAAGAACCUUGAGAAGAAACUUCCAGUCAAGCAUAUCAAACACUUUUUUGAUAUCCACCUUAAUAGCCAUGUUGCUUGCAAAAGUUUUCUUGUCUAACAAAUGAAUGGAUUUUAACAAACGAAUUUCGAAUGAAAUUGACUUUUUUACUGUCCCUUUUCAAGCUAUCCUCGUGUUAUUCCUUUAAAACGAUACUGUUUUCAUGAUUUUCAUGGAGUGAGUUCACAAUUAAAUAUUAACACAAUUUGAUUUCUUUUUUGUUUUGAAUGAACAAUACAGGAACAAUAGAUAGCCAAAUCCAUUUCGAAUAAACUUUUCAACGAAUUUCUAUAAACAUAAAUGGUCAUUUAUGGCAACAUUUGUCAAGAGUACGGUCACAUUCAAUUUCUUGUUUAAAUAACUGAGAUUUUCUAUAUGUGUGUUGUCGACAUGAAAGAAAAUUAAUACUCCAUAUUUUAGUGGCCUCGUAACAAAAUUAUCAAGUAAUGUAAUGAGCCUAAGUACAGAUAAAUAGAAUAUAUUUAAUCACCUUAAAAAACUGUUUUCAGAGCUCCAACCUAGAGCCCUGCUGAUACCUUCUUCACUAUGCAGGAACUAUGAGCAACAAUGACCUUUCACAGAUUCCCUCAAGUCCAUAUUACAUCCACCCUAGUGAGAGUCCUUCAUCCAUUAUUGUUACACCAUCUUUGACUAGAAAUAAUUACCAAUCUUGGUCAUGAUCAGUUAAAAUGAUCCUUAUUCAAAGAACAAAAUGGGUUACCUUACCAGCGCUAUAUCGAUUCCAACUUCCACAGAUCCUUCACACCCCUUGUAGGAACGUUGCAAUACCUAAAUCAUGUCCUAGAUCUUAAAUUUCCAGUCACCAUCCAUUGCUCAAAUUGUUAUAUAUUUUGACCAUGCUACAAACAUUUGGAAUGAUUUGAAGGAGUGUUUUUCACAAGGGGAUUUAUUGCAAAUUGCAGAGCUUCAAAGAAGAGAUAUACAGACUCAAGCAAGGGGUCGCACACAGUUUUGGAUUUUUUCACUAAAGCUCAAAUUUGUUNNNNNNNNNNNNNNNNNNNNNNNNNNNNNNNNNNNNNNNNNNNNNNNNNNNNNNNNNNNNNNNNNNNNNNNNNNNNNNNNNNNNNNNNNNNNNNNNNNNNUGAACCCUUGCACUUGUCCGAGCAGAACUUACCAUCAACAGGAUUUUGUCAUUCACUUUCUCAAAGGGCUGGAUGAACGAUUUUCUGUUGUGUGCUCUGAAGUCCUGCUUAUGGAUCAUUUACCAUCAACCAAGAGAAUCUUUUCCAUGGUGAUUCAACACGAAACUCAACAUGCUAGCCACACCUCUGCAGAAGACCAGAAUAGAUUCAUCAAUGUUGCUGAAAAACGAUCCUUCUUUAAAAGUUGUGGGAACCCUU